Non-coding RNA from Paramuricea clavata, 461 nucleotides. The record is from the annotation of a GenBank genome assembly. NCBI's taxonomy places the organism in Eukaryota, Metazoa, Cnidaria, Anthozoa, Malacalcyonacea, Plexauridae.
AUUGUCACUACCUACGUUAUGCACAGAUCGUUCGAGUUCAUCGAAUGAGCCUGUCGAGAUAUAUAUUUAUUUAUUUUAUUAGCACUUGUUUUUACCGAGUUAGGUACACCACUCUGUGCCCAAAACGUAUGACUAUUGUACAAAGGUUCGUACGAGGCUCAAAAGUCUUAUAUAGACAAUAAAAAUCAUGUUAAACCAAGAUGACGCAAACAAUGUGUAGGACUUUAAUGACAACUUUUCCACAACGCAUUUGAGCUGAAAGGAAAACGUUUUACUGAUUGCCUAUAAUAAAUCUCACUUACCCCAGAGAAAAGACCUACAGUAGGGUGUUGAAUAAUGUGUAUAUAGUAUGUGUCUCAAAAGUCUGAUGACCACCACUACCCCUGAAUAUACAUUCUGUGUUGAACAUUUUACAAAUCAUGCAUUGGCAUGAAGUUACAACAGAUAGAGCUGUGUGCCAC